UGGGUUCGAUCCCCGGGUUGGGAAGAUCCCCGGUUGGGAGGAGGGCAUGGCAACCCACUCCAGUAUUCUUGCCUGGAGAAUCUGCAUGGACAGAGGAGCCUGGCAGGCUGCAGUCCAUGGGGUCGAAGAGUUGGACAUGACUGAGCAACUAAGCACGGCGCAUAUUGAAUUAAGUCACAUUUGCAGAGUUGCUUCUAAUGACCACUCACCACAGCAUCACAGUCCUGGUAUAGAGCUGGGUUUUUCAGAAGAUGAAGACUAGUUUCCGAGGCACGACACACAUCAGCAUCAGGACUGGCUGGCUGGCCUGAGUCUGGUAAGCAGGGUGCAGCCUCCCAUUGGCAUGUGUGGUGUUUUAUGAUGGCUGUUUCUGAAAACCUGCUGUGGAAUCAGUAAGUUUUAACAGGGAAGUGACUGUUUAUAAAUAUACAUGUCCUAUAAAGAAGUUUAGUCCUUUUGGUAUAUGCAUAUUUAACAUCCACCCCGCCACCCCCCACAGCCUCUUUGAUUAGGUGAUUCAACUUUUCUUGUCUUGCUUUUUUUAGGUUAAAGUGAAGGUGCGGGCUCUCUAGUGGAAAUACUGUUAAUGAGUUGGCUGGAAUUGAAUUUCAAAACUCUAAAUCUUGUAAAUUUUUCUAAGGUAAAAACUUGACUACGUCACUAUCAUGAGAUCCUGUUAGUUUCAUAAAAAGGUCCCAUGAAGUGGUUUCAUUGGAUGGUGUAAGAGGUGGUGGCUUUGAAGCAUUUUGUAUUUUAUCAGUUUGACAUUUGGCUAAUGGAUUGGUGAGGUCAAGGGUGUUUUGUUUUUGGUACUAAUGCAAAAGUAAAUGCAAAAAUGAAUUAUGACUUUUUAAAGACUUUAACACAGAUUUGUUUGAAAGGAAAGUGAGUAUCAAACUUGGGAAUACAGAAAUAAGACUAUAGGAAAAUAAGCCCAUGUUGUGUAUAGUGGCAUAUAUUCUAUGUUUAUCCUAUGCCUGUGCUAUCUUUGUGCUUGGCUUCAAACUACGUGUUUGUUUACAUGCAAUCUUUUUUGAAAUAAAAAGAACAGGCAUCCAAAAACUUGGGUUAUAGAAAGGGGACUUUUUAAAAUUCUUACCAUCUGAUUAGGUGGUAUGUUUUAGACUUUUAGUAUGUAAGUAAAACAGCCUUGAGACUAAAUAGCACAUUUUGCUUGGAAUACCCCAUCCAGAGGAAUCCACUGCUUCUCUGCACUGUACAUAUGUACAUAGUGUCCACGAUUAGAUUGUAAGCUCCUCGAGGGCAGGAACUGUCGUCUUGUCUUGGGAGUUCCUGCAGUGCCGAGUGUGAAGUGCCUUGCACAGCGUAGGUGCUGGUGACACAGAGAAGGAGUGAGUAGCUUCCUGCCACCUUUAUGACGAAGCUUGGUUUACUUUCUCCGCUGUGUUGAGAACUGCAAAGUACUAAUGAUGGGAAGAGGGCAAAAUUCUUUCUUGGAUUUCAGCUGGGUCUCCUGAGCUGAAGCAGACCAUGCUGUCUCCUUGGCACUAGUUAUCUUCUUGCCCUGAAGACAUACUAGUGUCCUGAGCUUUUAUAUGAUAAAAGGGCGGCAGUCUCUGGGCAAAGUUUGAAGUGGGAAAGAUUAUAGAGAAAAUGAAGUGGAAAUUUUGGAGGGUGUUCAUCAAAUGCAGUCCUGUGGGGCAAUCUUACUUUAGUUAUUACUAAAGGAAAGGAUAGCAAUUCUCUUUCUUUACCAGUUAGCUGGUUGGCCAAUUUUCCAGUUAACAAAAGAUUGUUGGGUUUUUUUUUUAAACUUUUUCCCAUUUUGCAUUCCCCCCUCAAUUGCUCUUUAUGAUUCUAGUACUUAGAGUCUAUUAAAGUUGCUGUGAAUAUCCAGUGCUGUACAUAAUGGCAGUUUUGUAAAUGUGAAAUAACCUCAAUUAUGUUGUGUUUUGUAUGCAGAGCCACUAGUAUUGUUAUCUUGGCCACUUUUUUUAUUCAAAAUAAAUAAAAUAAUCAAGUUAUUUGUAUAUUGUGUGCAUAUUUUGUCGGGUUCACCAGUUUGUAGCAAGGGUUAGAAACCUUCUGCCCCACCCAGCACCAGCAAAGGCACUUCGAGAAGAGAAGGGGGAGAGCUGUGCCUCAGAGAAAUGGCCGUCAGCAAGGGCCCCAGAAUCAAUGCAGAAUGCCUUCAAUGGUUUAUUCUAGAGAAAGUUGAGGAAUGUAAGGGGAAAUCAGACAGCUUCAGUAGGCUGUUAGACCACAAAUACUUAAUGUCAGUUGACGAGUAUCUGGUGAGUGUUUAAGUGAAGUGCUCAUUACCAGGAUUUCAUCAACAAUAAGCAUGUGAUUCAGACAAAUCCUCCUGGUGAGAACAACCAGAAACACCAAACAGGAGAAAGAAAAUGAAUACAUGCCUCAAUGUGUGGUAAUAAAACUUCUGAAAGAUCAAAGAGAAAAAAAAACUUUAAGCAAAAAAAAAAAACACAAAUAUUUUCUCAAAAGAAAACAAGUUAACCUUAAAAAGAAAAAAUUAGUAAGAUUUAAAGAUGACUUCUCAUGGAAAUGGUAAAGAUGAGAAGGCAGUGAAC
Molecule: long non-coding RNA, 2552 nt
Organism: Bos taurus (domestic cattle)
Lineage: Eukaryota; Metazoa; Chordata; Mammalia; Artiodactyla; Bovidae
Source: Ensembl